AAUUAUACAGAUAUGCUACAAAUAGACUACUGAGUUAUUAAGCUAUGAAAUGGCUAUCCAGGAGCUUGGUAAACUUGUCUGGGUUCUUCUGUUAAAUAUAUUAUGCUUCUAUCAUUAGAAUAUGGUUAUGCAGAUGACAGAUAAUAACUAUCUUAAAUUUUCCAUACAGUGAAAAACUUUAAUUGCAAAUAUUACUUGUUACUUCAUUUAAAAUUUUUCCUUGGUUAAGAGUUACUGAAUAAUUAAAAGGUCAGCAAUUUAAAUUAAAUCAAGUGUGAUAAAAUAUCUACCUAUAGUAGAUUUUUAAAAAGUAAAAUUGUAUUAUUUAGCCAUUUGGGAACAUCUUAGUCAUCUAACAAGUAUGCCCCAGCAAAUAAAGAACAGGACAUGAAAGGAUUAUGUUAAUAUAAGCGCAUUUUGCCCUAAAGAAAACAGUCUUGUAUUUAAGAUUCUUGCAGCAAAAUCUCAGGUACUUAAUUACA
RNAcentral lists this long non-coding RNA (482 nucleotides) under Bos taurus (domestic cattle). RNAcentral describes it as "long non-coding RNA NONBTAT016896". The record is from RNAcentral. Lineage: Eukaryota; Metazoa; Chordata; Mammalia; Artiodactyla; Bovidae.